GCUGGGCACAGUGGCGCAUGCCUGCAAUCCCAGCAACUCAGGAGGCUGAGGCAGGAAGACUGCAAGUUGAAAGCCAGCCUCAG
RNAcentral lists this small RNA (83 nucleotides) under Marmota monax (woodchuck). Lineage: Eukaryota; Metazoa; Chordata; Mammalia; Rodentia; Sciuridae. The record is from RNAcentral.